UUAGUGCAUGGAAUAAUAGAACAGGACCUUGGUUCUAUUUUGUUGGUUUCGGAACCCCGAGGUAAUGAUUAAUAGGGACAGCUGGGGGCAUUCGUAUUGCGACGUUAGA
This 109-nucleotide ribosomal RNA is filed under the name Metajapyx sp. MFW-2001. Its description in RNAcentral is "partial 18S ribosomal RNA". The record is from RNAcentral. Lineage: Eukaryota; Metazoa; Arthropoda; Diplura; Dicellurata; Japygidae.